This 466-nucleotide ribosomal RNA is filed under the name uncultured bacterium. RNAcentral's name for it is "bacterial SSU rRNA". It matches the Rfam family "Bacterial small subunit ribosomal RNA", at positions 28 to 507 of the family's 1533-position model. The record is from RNAcentral.
GACGAACGCUGGCGGCGCGCCUAACACAUGCAAGUCGAACGAGAGAGAGGAAGCUUGCUUCCUCAAUCGAGUGGCGAACGGGUGAGUAACGCGUGAGGAACCUGCCUCAAAGAGGGGGACAACAGUUGGAAACGACUGCUAAUACCGCAUAAGCCCACGGCUCGGCAUCGAGCAGAGGGAAAAGGAGCAAUCCGCUUUGAGAUGGCCUCGCGUCCGAUUAGCUGGUUGGUGAGGUAACGGCCCACCAAGGCGACGAUCAGUAGCCGGUCUGAGAGGAUGAACGGCCACACUGGGACUGAGACACGGCCCAGACUCCUACGGGAGGCAGCAGCGGGGGAUAUUGCACAAUGGGGGAAACCCUGAUGCAGCAACGCCGCGUGAAGGAAGAAGGUCUUCGGAUUGUAAACUUUUGUCCUUGGUGAAGAUAAUGACGGUAGCCAAGGAGGAAGCUCCGGCUAACUACGUG